UUAUAAUUGUGUAUUACACCUGUUGGCCGGUUUAUCUGAUUUUCUUUUUAAUAUAAAAGUUUCUUUCAAACAGCUCUGAACUACGUGCCUGAUAAUGUAGAAGGCAGGAGACAGCGGAUAGCUCAUUUUUUAGAAGAACAUAAUUUAUUUGACGGAGAACAACCAGCGCAUGAUGCUAUUAACUGCGUCUCCUAUGCUCCCGUGUUGAUCGAUGAUGCCACCGAAGUGAUACCGCAGGGUUGCAGAACUGGAGCUCUGAGGAAUAACAGGCCUUACCCUGAGGCUGAAGGUGCCUAUAACCGUGUUUAUUUAACACUUGUAUAUUAAAUUAUGUUGUAUGUUUUAUUCACAUGUUUAUGCUGUCUUUAAUUUGUAUCACAGCUGUGACGGUGCACCCUUCCCCCUGUGAUGUUAUUGUUAUCGAUGAUUCACGAGAGAGGUGUGUAUUUGUAGGUUAUUUUAGAGAUUAAGAUGUCAAAUCUGACCAGUGAUGACAUGUAUAGCCGCAUGUCAUCAUUCCGCAGCUGGUUGUCGAGGUAGU
This is a long non-coding RNA of Micropterus dolomieu (smallmouth bass), 541 nucleotides long. RefSeq lists it as uncharacterized. The transcript is spliced from 3 exons. The record is from RefSeq and is a predicted model, not a curated record. NCBI's taxonomy places the organism in Eukaryota, Metazoa, Chordata, Actinopteri, Centrarchiformes, Centrarchidae.